AGAAAAGGAAAUUAAGCUUCUAACUUAAUAGAUGGGACCUACCACUUUUCUU
RNAcentral lists this transfer RNA (52 nucleotides) under Trichuris ovis. Its description in RNAcentral is "tRNA-Ser". Lineage: Eukaryota; Metazoa; Nematoda; Enoplea; Trichinellida; Trichuridae. The record is from RNAcentral.